GUGAGCCACUUCGCCUGGCCUGAGAAUUUUUUUUUCCUUUUUUUCCCUUUCUUUCAAAACCUGCAUGAUUCUUACAAAAAAACAAUUUUAGAUAAUGCUGGUCUAGAUGAUGUUCUUUCUUUUGAAGGUUUCAAGUGGAUUUCUGUAGGCAAAAUAUUUUAAUCCAGCUAUUCAUAUUUCUUUGCCUUAUUUCUAAAACACUUCAGGCCUGAGGACUUGCGCCGUGAGUUUGGUCGAUAUGGCCCUAUAGUAGACGUUUACAUUCCACUUGACUUCUACACUCGCCGCCCAAGAGGAUUUGCUUAUGUUCAAUUUGAAGAUGUUCGAGAUGCUGAAGACGCUCUUUAUAACCUCAAUAGAAAGUGGGUAUGUGGCCGUCAAAUUGAAAUACAGUUUGCACAAGGUGAUCGCAAAACACCAGGGCAGAUGAAAUCAAAAGAACGUCAUCCUUGUUCUCCAAGUGAUCACAGGAGAUCAAGAAGCCCCAGCCAAAGAAGAACUCGAAGUAGAAGUUCUUCAUGGGGAAGAAAUAGGAGGCGGUCAGACAGCCUUAAAGAGUCUCGACACAGGCGAUUUUCUUAUAGCCAGUCUAAAUCUCGUUCCAAAUCAUUACCAAGGCGGUCUACCUCAGCAAGGCAGUCAAGAACUCCAAGAAGGAAUUUUGGCUCUAGAGGACGGUCAAGGUCCAAGUCCUUACAAAAAAGGUCCAAGUCAAUAGGAAAAUCACAGUCAAGUUCACCUCAAAAGCAGACUAGCUCAGGAACAAAAUCAAGAUCACAUGGAAGACAUUCUGACUCAAUAGCAAGAUCCCCGUGUAAAUCUCCCAAAGGGUAUACCAAUUCUGAAACUAAAGUACAAACAGCAAAGCAUUCUCAUUUUCGGUCACAUUCCAGAUCUCGAAGUUACCGUCAUAAAAACAGUUGGUGAACAGCAACAGAAAGAGCACCACGCAGUCUUUAAUAUAAGUUAAACUCUCAUUAUGUUAAAUAAAAAUUCUUUAAGGCA
This is an RNA transcript of Piliocolobus tephrosceles (Ugandan red Colobus), 1005 nucleotides long. It is a transcript of the gene named serine/arginine-rich splicing factor 12 pseudogene, with no coding region annotated. The record is from RefSeq and is a predicted model, not a curated record. NCBI's taxonomy places the organism in Eukaryota, Metazoa, Chordata, Mammalia, Primates, Cercopithecidae. The transcript has a single exon.